This is a long non-coding RNA of Gymnodraco acuticeps, 503 nucleotides long. RefSeq lists it as uncharacterized. The record is from RefSeq and is a predicted model, not a curated record. The transcript is spliced from 2 exons. Lineage: Eukaryota; Metazoa; Chordata; Actinopteri; Perciformes; Bathydraconidae.
UGCAGACUCAAGGGGCAUCUCUUCAUGCUGACUUUGCUGAUAGCAGAUAUAAAUUCAGAGCCCCAUCCGUCAGAGAUAGGCUGUGACGGAUGGAGCCCAGAGGAGCUGACAUCCUGGGCUCAUCUGGACCCUGAAGGCCCCGAGGCGCCCACAGUCACCAGCAGAGCCCACCUCCUUCCCCCAGUCGUGGUUUCCAUUGGCCGGAGGCCGUCUAAUGAGGACGUUAUCAGAUCAGUGUCUUCAGCCUGACACAAGCCUAGCCGUCAGCACAAAGGAUUCAACCUUUUCCCACCUGCUCUUAAGAUGAACGACCAGCAGCUCACGCAAUAAAGUCACAGGAGGAGGGCGGUCAUAUUGAGUUUUCUUUCUAGGAGGAGAAUAACCUCAGAGAUGAAUAAGAGAAGUGAUUUAUGUCACAUAGUUCAAUUUUAGAACUCAUACAGUCCUUAUUUGAGUUGACUUUAGUUACUUCAACAAUAACUAAUAAACGGUCCUUAAGGUGA